This is a non-coding RNA of Sphingomonas sp. SCN 67-18, 97 nucleotides long. NCBI's taxonomy places the organism in Bacteria, Pseudomonadati, Pseudomonadota, Alphaproteobacteria, Sphingomonadales, Sphingomonadaceae. The record is from Rfam.
GAGAGCCGGAUGCUGGGAAACCCGCACGUCCGGUUCGGCGAGAGGGAUGGUAAAACCAGCCUCGGUGACGGGGUAUGGCGUACCAUCCCUACUCUCC